RNAcentral lists this ribosomal RNA (84 nucleotides) under Triticum aestivum (bread wheat). Its description in RNAcentral is "partial small subunit ribosomal RNA". The record is from RNAcentral. Lineage: Eukaryota; Viridiplantae; Streptophyta; Magnoliopsida; Poales; Poaceae.
GCAAAUUCUUUCAGAGGUUUUCCCUUACUUUGUCCGUGUCAACAAACAAUUCGAAAUACCUCGACUUUUUCAAAACAGGUCUGA